RNAcentral lists this ribosomal RNA (238 nucleotides) under uncultured bacterium. Its description in RNAcentral is "partial 16S ribosomal RNA". It matches the Rfam family "Bacterial small subunit ribosomal RNA", at positions 559 to 793 of the family's 1533-position model. The record is from RNAcentral.
CGUAAAGCGCACGUAGGCGGAUCGGAAAGUUGGGGGUGGAAAUACCCGGGGCUCAACCCCGGAACUGCCUCCAAAACUAAUCGGUCUAGAGUUCGAGAGAGGUGAGUGGAAUUCCGAGUGUAGAGGUGAAAUUCGUAGAUAUUCGGAGGAACACCAGUGGCGAAGGCGGCUCACUGGCUCGAUACUGACGCUGAGGUGCGAAAGUGUGGGGAGCAAACAGGAUUAGAUACCCUGGUAG